AAACCAGCACCUCAAGUGGUCAGGAUGAUUAUUGGGCCUAAAGCAUCCGUAGCUUGCUUUGUAAGUUUUCGGUUAAAUCUGUACGCUCAACGUACAGGCCGCCGGGAAUACUGCAGGGCUAGGGAGUGGGAGAGGUAGACGGUAUUCGGUAGGAAGGGGUAAAAUCCUUUGAUCUAUUGAGGACCACCUGUGGCGAAGGCGGUCUACCAGAACACGUUCGACGGUGAGGGAUGAAAGCUGGGGGAGCAAACCGGAUUAGAAACCCCGGUAGUCC
RNAcentral lists this ribosomal RNA (274 nucleotides) under uncultured bacterium. RNAcentral's name for it is "partial 16S ribosomal RNA". It matches the Rfam family "Archaeal small subunit ribosomal RNA", at positions 473 to 747 of the family's 1478-position model. The record is from RNAcentral.